ACACAAAAAUCAUUCUUUUUCAUUAGUUCCACAGAAAUAACUGGCUUGUGGCAGCCAAGCGUUCAUAGCGACGUUGCUUUUUGAUCCUUCGAUGUCGGCUCUUCCUGUCAUACUGGAGCAGAAUUCAGUACGCGCCUCUAAGUCAGAAUCCGUGCUAGAACGCGACGAUUACCGCCUUUUCCGAUAAUUAGUUGAAUACGAAUAGAGCUUCGGCUCCUGAAUCAUGCUACGUGGGGUUAUCUUGUGGAGCGGAAAGGCUUCAUGAGGUUCCUGCUAAUGUUAAUUUCAAAUAUUGGAAGAGAUAAAUCCAUUGCAGACGACUUUUAAGCAACGGUGUACUGUAAGCUGUAGAGUAGCCUUGUUGCUACGAUCCGCUGAGAUUAAGCCAUUUGUUGAAGAUUU
Molecule: ribosomal RNA, 402 nt
Organism: Lobosporangium transversale
Lineage: Eukaryota; Fungi; Mortierellomycota; Mortierellomycetes; Mortierellales; Mortierellaceae
Rfam family: Eukaryotic large subunit ribosomal RNA
Source: Rfam